AAUGAACGCUGGCGGCGUGCAUAACACAUGCAAGUCGAACGAGAAACCCCGGCUUGCCGGGGGAGUAAAGUGGCGAACGGGUGAGUAACGCGUGGGAACGUGCCCUUUGGUUCGGAAUAGCCCUGGGAAACUGGGAGUAAUACCGGAUGUGCCCUUCGGGGGAAAGAUUUAUCGCCAAAGGAUCGGCCCGCGUUGGAUUAGGUAGUUGGUGGGGUAAUGGCCUACCAAGCCGACGAUCCAUAGCUGGUUUGAGAGGAUGAUCAGCCACACUGGGACUGAGACACGGCCCAGACUCCUACGGGAGGCUG
Molecule: ribosomal RNA, 308 nt
Filed under: uncultured Pseudomonadota bacterium
Lineage: Bacteria; Pseudomonadati; Pseudomonadota
Description: bacterial SSU rRNA
Rfam family: Bacterial small subunit ribosomal RNA
Source: RNAcentral